AAAGGGAAGUUCUUCUUGACCUGGUAUUCUAACAAAUUGCUGAAUCAUGGUGAUCAAAUACUAGAUGAAGCCAACAAAGCUUUCCUGGGCUGUAAAGUCAAAUUAGCAAUCAAAGUAAACUUCAUAACACCUCAAUCAACAGCCCCCUUCAUUUUCUGUCAGAUGAUUAGCCUCUAAACCAUGAUCAACAGGUAUCUGGAAUUCACUGGUGGUACAAAGUUGAAAAUCAUGCUGCAGAGCUUACUGCUGGAUAUUACAACCUUAAUGAUAGAGACGGAUACCGCCCCAUUGCAAGGAUGCUGUCUCGCCAUCAUGCCAUUUUGAACUUUACAUGUCUUGAGAUGAGGGACUCAGAGCAACCCUCAGAUGCCAAAAGUGGACCACAGGAGCUUGUUCAGCAGGUAAUGCAUUACAAUUUUGUCUAAUUUAUAGCUUGUUCUGUUUAUUAAAGAUGAUGCCAAGUGUAAAUGCAGUAUUAUAGCGGUUAAAUUGCCAAACAUGAACACAUGCACAGGUAUUGAGUGGAGGUUGGAGAGAAGACAUCAGAGUUGCUGGAGAAAAUGCACUUCCAAGGUAUGAUGCCACAGCUUACAACCAAAUCAUACUGAAUGCAAGACCGCAAGGUGUCAACAACAAUGGCCCUCCAAAACUAAGCAUGUUCGGAGUAACAUACCUUCGUCUAUCAGAUGAUCUACUGCAAAAAUCAAAUUUUAAUAUAUUCAAAAAAUUUGUGCUAAAGAUGCAUGCAGAUCAGGUGAGCAGCCGUCAUGCAUGCACUUGAAAAGAUAAUAUUUUGAACUUUCUAAAGUUUCAUAAUUACCUUGUUGCCUCUUACUCAUGUCCCUCAAAUUGCAGGAUUACUGUGCAAACCCUCAAAAGUAUAAUCACGCCAUAACACCAUUGAAGCCAUCUGCACCAAAGAUUCCCAUUGAGGUUCUUCUGGAAGCAACUAAACCAACACUGCCAUUCCCCUGGCUUCCAGAGACAGACAUGAAAGUUGAUGGUUGAUUUCCCAAUUUGGUGCCAUGAGUAAUUAAAUAAUCUGCUGGAAAUAAUAUCUACCAAUAUAAAUAAAGCAUCCAGCCACUGUAAUCUGCAAUGCUGAUAAUAAUGCCAUGAAGUAGCACUGCCUAAACAUCUACAAAGUACUCUCGUGUACUUUUUAUGUGUGUAUUCCUAUCACGAAGUUAAUAAACUAUUUUAUCAAAUGAAUAUCGCAAUACCAAAAUCUCCAUCUCUAAACUGGUGAAACUUGCUCACAUAGCAUAUUUCGAGAAUCAACUUACAUCAACACAUAAUUUGUACGCUUAUUAUCCAAAUGUGAUUAAGUGUUUAAAGAAUUGAACCAAGUCAUAUGAAGUGAAAAAUUCUUAAUCUUUUAAAAAUUAUAUGGCCCAAUCCAAAUGACAGUAAAUUAUAACACAAGUACCAUACCCGGGGAAAAAAAUCCUAUUACAAGUUAGCUUUCCAUGACAAAUAGAUUUAGAAAUAAUAAAAUAUCUAACAUAUGAGAAGAAUAAUUAACUUCUUUAGACAGAUCUCUAAGUAAAGGAAAGUAAAAAAUUGAUGUCAUAUAUCAGGAAUGAUUUUUUGGCAUACCGCAUACAUAUGUAAUAACGCAUAAAUAAUUAAGUUUUAUGGAAUUUGGGUUUUAUCAUAUAUUGAUUAUUCCAUUGCUAAGUAUUUAAGCUUUAAAAUACAUUAUUUUCUUAAAUUCCUUGUCUUGCACAAGUUUUUUGCACGAGAACUAAAACCACAUGACUAGUUAAAAUAAAAGCUUCACGUUCAUUUGCAGAAAACUAUCAGGUAAAAUAUUUCCGGGUUGGUCAAGGUAGGGAAUGGAUAAAAUGAUUUUGGCCUUCAGUUGUUGUCACUAUAAUCAGGUAUACUAUAUACUUAGGAAGCAUUUGGUUUAUGAAUAUGUUUCCUAUUUUCAUUUUCUACUUUCACAAAAGUUUACAAAAUGUCACAUUGUUUUCACUUUAUUUCCUGUUAAAAUAGAAUAAGGUACAAAAGAAAAGUUGGUAUGGAAAAACAUAAUAACAAGUUAACAACUAUUAGAAUUAGAGAACUUACUUGGCCAUGGCUAUUAGGAUGCACAGUGAAACACAUCUAGAAAAUGAUAUAGUAAAUGAAUAUACUAUAUCCAUCUAUUUGAGCACAAGACAAAAGGGUGGUUGGAAUGUUAAGGCUUGGUGUCUGGUGAAUGUGAGUUUGGCAACCUUGGUACAACAGCCAGGAGGGAGUUCACUUCACGUGUAAACGUACUAGGAAACUGGGGCUUGUCAUAUAAUGAGAAAACAUAUCCUAAUAUUGGUGCAUUGAGGCAAAACAUGACACUUCAGAUUACAGUUAUAGUCCGGUUGCAUCUGCAAUGCUAACGGUGAUGCUGCAUUGUAGCAAUUCCAAAACAUCCUAAGGUAUAUGUUCAUGUCAGAUAAAAAAAUCAUCAAUUUUCAAUAGAAUAUCUUCUUCUAGCUAACAAAUUUCCAUUGAACAAAAAUUAUGUAUUUUCAUCAUUUUUGAAUUUUAUCUACUACUUCAUCAAACUUCCAUGAGCUCACCAAUAUCCACCGCAUGAGCAUAAACCAUCUCUAAAAUGGUGAAACCUACAAAUAUCUCGCAUGAUAAUCUCCCGAUUUGUGAGCCUAGAAAUCAUUUUUAUUACCGUGUGGCAAUCUCCACACACACAAAGAUUCUUGGUUAUUCUGAUUGUUGUCCCUGGACCAGUAUUAAUAAGAGCAAAAGCAAGUGCCAACCUCUCGCUAUGAUCCCAAAGCAUCUUCUCCUUUAUUUCUUCCUCAACAUCGUAGAGAACUAAACUAGUGUCAGGCUUGUAUCCAGCUUUCUUCAGCUGCUCAUUCAAGUCUUUCAAUUUGGCAUAAAUAUCAUCCGACUGUUCAUGGGAAGUAUCCCCAACAAAAAAUUGAUGAACCAUCUUAUUUAGCUCAACAAAACUGUAACUAGGUGGUUUCCUCAAUCUCCUUUUUGUCACCAAUGCCCUCACGUUUUCAACAUCUUUCCACCAUCUCUGUGUUGGAAAGGCAAACAUAGCUACUCACUCCAUCUGGAUUCAAUUCAAAAAGCUUCUGCGCUGAGAUCACUGCUAACUUGACAUUCCGAUGUAAUCUGCAAGCAGAAAGAAGAGCAGUCCACACAUCCUCAUUAGGUUUCAAUUUCAUAUUCUCUAUAACUCCAUAUGCUUCAGCUAAGUACCCUGCUCUGCCAAGUAGAUCCACUAAACAUGAAUAAUGAGUUGCUCUAGCUCCCCGCUGUAGUCUCUAGUCAUUUUGUAGAAUAUCUCUUUACCAUCACCCACUAAUCCAUAAUGACUACAAGCCGACAAAACUGCAGUGAAAAUGCCCUCAUCUGAAGUCACACCUUUACCUAGCAUUUCAUAAAAAAUGGAGAUGGCCUCUCUCCCCCUCCCAUGAAUUCCAAAUCCAGUAACCAUAACCGUACAAGCAGCCAAAAUUUUCUCAGGCAUCUCAUCAAACACUAAGCACCGUUCCCACAGCAACAUUCACUCCAUAACCCCUCUUAACAACAUAUGACUGCACACUGGCACCCAAUCGCAAUGCCGAGAUUUGAUUACAAGCCCCAAGCACAGAAGUCACAGUCACCUCAUCAGGCACUGCACCAACUACAACCAUUCGACCGAAAAGCUCAAGAACUAGAAAAGCAUCCCCGCACUUCUCAUACCCUGAAAUCAAAGAAUUCCACGACACAACAUCCUUCACUCUCAACCCUUCAAACAACUUCCUUGCAAAGGACAUAGACUCACAAUUGCAGUACAUGCAAAUAAUUGAAUUCAUCAAAAACCCAUUACACAGUCUCCUAUUCCCACCAUUCCUAACAACAUAACCAUGAAUUUCUCUCCCCGCCUUCAAAUCCAUAACAUCCCCACAGGCAGAUAAAAGUGCAAGCAAGGUGAUCCCAUCUCCCACAAAACCAUCCCUUCUCAUAUCCCCAAAAACCUCAAAAGCACCCCUUGCCUCCCCAUUCUUCACAAACCCCGACAUCAUAGUGUUCCAAGAAGUCAAGUCCCUCACAGGCAUUUUAUCAAACAUCACCCGCGCAGCUGCCACGUCACCAAACGUGAAGUACAUCGAGAGUAUCGAGUUGCCCACAUAAACAUCCUCUUCCAACCCACCGACCACCACCAAAGCAUGAACCUUUCUACCAAUUUCCCGAAGCAAAAGGUCCCCACAUGCCUUGAGGACAAAAGGGUAGGUGAAAUUAUCGGGCUUAUGUCCAAAAUGCAGCAUUUCGCGGUAUAAAAUAAGGGCUUUGGAUGGAGAGUUGUUGCAGGCGUAGCCCCUGAUCAUGGAAUUCCAGAGGAAUGAGUUCUUUAGCACGAUUUGGUGGAAGAUGUGUUGAGCGUAGGGCAUGUGGCCGCAUGCGGGUUGGAGAGUGAUUGGAGUAAAGUUCCACAUUGUAGAGAAUCAAGGGUGGUGAUGGUGGAACAAGGUUUGGGAAGAAGGGUUGCUGUUGUUUUAAGGAGUAACAUUGAGGCUGAGGGUGUCUUCCAUGAAUCAUGGAGAGGAACAAGUACGAGGACUGGGACUAGGACUAGGAGGGAGGUUUGUUGAAAAAAUGAAUGAAAAAAUAAAAGAGAAUCUGGAGAUGCGGGGUAUCGAUCCCCGUACCUCUCGCAUGCUAAGCGAGCGCUCUACCAUCUGAGCUACAUCCCCAUAUGAUAUACUUGUAUGUAUGUAUUAAAAAUUGUAUAUAAUAUAUGUUUCUAACUUGUAAUUUAAUAUUUUUUUCGUUCUUGAAAAAUUAUUAUUUUUCCUUAUACAUUAUGUUUAUUUUGUUUUAAAGUACUUUAAAUACUGAAAAAAUACUAUCAAAAAAUACUAUCAAAAAAAUAUAUAGUUUGCAAUGAUUAAAAAAAUAAUAAUUUUACAAGAAUGUAAAACAAAAAAAAAUACUAAAUUAUAAAGACUAAAAAAAUAUUUAAGCCAUUUCUGAAUUUAUGAGAAAGAAAAUAUAAAUGUACAAACCAUAUACUUAUAUAGGUGGUUGAGAAAUUGUGUAUAGUAAAUUAUAAUGAUUAAGUGUUGUUCUCGCCGGAUACUUGCACUAGACUUCUAAUGAUCUCUGCCUAUUAUUUUGCCUUGCUAUGUUACACAAUGUGAUGCAUUUUGAUGUUGUGUCUAUGCGAAAGUCACAACAUUAGGCUCGAUAGAGUUCAGACGAGGGUUAACCUUUUUUUUUUAUAGAAAUAUUGGGUGUGACACUAAUGGUGUGGCUUGCCCUGUAUGCUUGCUAAAUGCGGAAACGGUUGGUCAUGUGUUAUUAUCAUGCAACUUUGCUUAUGUUAUCUGGAUGAGGCUAUAAAAUUGGUUGGACUUUUCAAUGGUGUUACCAAAUGAGCCAUCAACUCAUUAGUGGCAACAUUGUGAAAUGAUAUUUGGGUCGAAAAAGAGAAUGAAUUGGUGGUUAGUGUGGAUCUCUAUUGUAUGGUUAUUAUGGCUAUUAAGAAAUGAGGUUGUGUUUAAUGAAGGAAAAACAGACAUAGAUCAUAUCUUUCAUUCGAUAACAUUGACUUCUUGGAAAUGGAUGUAGGCAUAUGUUAAGGGAUUUACAACAUCAUUUUAUGAAUGGGGGGCUCAACCUCUGUUAUGUUUAUAAUGGGUUAAGCUGAAGCUAUCUGGAUUUUGUAGGCUCUUGGUUUCUUUUCUUUCUAUCUUUGGUUAUGAACGUAAUCCUCUGUAUGUGGGUUUAGAGAAUAUAGCUUGUAUAAUGGGUAUUUCUUAUACCUAUAUUUCACAACUAUUUAUUAUCUGUUACAUUGGUUGUUUUUUUAAAAAAAAGUAGUGUGACACUGAACCAACAUGUCAAAGGGUGAUGCGAUCUUUGAAGAAGCUAACUUGUUUUGUCGAAUUUUAGGGGUUGUUUGGAAGGUAAUAGAAUCAUUUUAACAAAAUUGAGAAUCUUCUAUGGUACCCCAAAACCUAUAUCAUUGUGCGCUCCUACAAGUUUUUUGUCAAGAUAAGGUGAACUCUUAGUCCUAUGUAACUCUCCAUCAACCUUGUAGGUAGGCCACGAAUGAUAUUGGAUUUUAAAUGUAUCAUACGUAAUUUAGUUACUUGACAUUUCAUGGGGUUACUUGUGGUCAUCUUAGUAAGACCAGGCUAGAUCAUUAUAUUUAAUGAUAAUUUUUUGAAUCAAACAUAUCAAAAAAUUUGAUGAGAUUGAUAUUACACUCUCUUAAUUAUUGUAACCGGCCCACAUUGAUGCUUUCUUCCUUCAAAACAAAACACUAUGAUAUUUAAUAUUUUAUUUUGGAAGUUCUUAGUUAUGCAUGGAAAUGAAUUUAGAGAAUUUUAAAAAUUUUCAAUUAGAUUUUUUAUAUACUAGCAAUUGCCAAUGAAAGAAUGGAGACAUAGUUUUUUUUUUCGAAUAUAAAAGAUACAAAAAUUUGUAUUAAAAAGAGUGUUUAUGUUUCCAAGAUUCUCUUAACACAUAACAUUUACUAUGGAAUUGUUUCCUCAACCAAUGACUUACCUUAUAGUCUUAGUAGUAUUUACUAGCUUUUUUUUUUUUUUUUUUAUCUUGGAAAAACCAUAGAUUGUGGUGCAAAGAAUAUCGCAUACAUCAUAAUUAUUAAUCAAUAUGGUAAAGUAACAUUCAAAACAUGCCAUUCAAGUUAGCAUUAAUUCUAUAAGGAGCAAAAAUAUCGAUGGGUCAAGAUUGGGUAAGCUUGCUUAUGUUAAAGUUGACUAUAACUAAUUUUUAAACUUGGGAGAUGCAUGAUAUAUUUUAGUUGUCCAUCUAAUUUGUUAGUUUCUUAUAAUGACACAAAUUGUAAUAUUUUGUCAAAAGCUAAUAUAAAAUAUAAAAUUCUAAUUAAUUCUAGAAAAGCUAAUGUAGGUUUCAUGAAUGGCACUCUUGAAUUCUCCGUGGUAUGUAUGGGACAUAAAUUGGAAGUUGACUAUAAAUCUAUAAUAUGGACUAGGGGAUGAUAUUCCGAAGUGUGUUAUUAGAUGGAGGAAGAAGCUGAAUCAUUCAUAGCUAGAAAAUUUUUCUUUAGUGUCUUUUAUCAAUAAAGAUGAACAACUUACUGAUUAUCUUCUAUAAAUUUAUUUUUUUCUAACUUGGGUGGAGAUUGUUUGUAUGGUUAAGCUUAUUUGGGUAAUCUCUAAUAUUAAUCUAUUUAUAAUUGACUAAGAAAUGUAGUAGUUUUUCAUGUGAAUAAUCUUUUAUACUUUUAAUAAAUAAAGUGAAUGUUCAGUUAUUUAUGUUAUAUAACUCCACUUAUGUUUAUUUGAAGUUUUUGUUUUAAACCGGCUAAAAAAUAGUUUUCAUCCCUUAUUUUUUUAAUAUAUGAUUUCAGUUUUUUUUAUUUUUAAUUGAAAUAUUUUGUCCCUUACUUUAUAAAAAAAUUAUGAUUUUAGCAUUUUUCAAUUUCAAACUUGAUUAUGUAUUUUUAAUUUUUUUUAAUAAAUUAAGCUUGUUAGCAAUUAAAUAAUUAAAAAAAAACAUGUGUCAUGUGAAUAAAAAUAGAGAUGUGUCUGUCAACGUUUAAAAAAUAUAUUGAUCAACCUUUGAAAUUGACCACAAGUACUAAAAUUAUGAAUAUUUUAAAAUGGAUAACCAAAUAUCUCAAUUAAAAAAUAAAAAAUUAAAAUCACAAACUUUUUUAAAAGUGAGAUAUAAAAUGUCUCAAUUAAAAAAUAAGAGAACUAAAUUUAUAUAUUUAAGAAAAUAGAAGAAUGAAAAAUACAUUUUAUAGCCUUUAAACAAGAAUGUUUUUUAUGGUUUGCAAAAAGAAGUUUUUUUUCAUGUUUAAAGAAAAAAUUGUGAUGAGUUAAUUUGUUCAAGGAGAAAGUAAAAUCGGCAAGACUGUGACUUGUGGGAUACGUUUUGUAACAAUUUAUUUUUUUUAAUAAUGUUUUUUUAAUAUAUAUAUAUAUAUAUAUAUAUAUAUAUAUAUAUAUAUAUAUAUAUAUAUAUAUAUAUGUAUGUAUGUGUGUGUGUGUGUUCGCAUAUAGAUUAAGUAAUAUAUGUGAGUUAUUGUAAUAUUAAUUAAUGUCUUGAAGUUCUAAUUAAUCCUCCGUCAAAUAUGAGAAUUGCCUAGACAUAAACAUAUAAAAUAUAAAAGUAUUUUGAGACGGACAAAAUUCUUUUUAUAGAUGUUACGGUUGUUGCCCUACCUGUCUAUUGUAAAGCAUGUUGGUCCUAAGUUGAGCCAAUCCCAUGUAAUAUAAGUUUAAAUCUAAUUUUGUUUAAUAUAUAAUUUUUAUUUUCAUAUUUUAAAAUGAUCUCAUAUUUUUUUUUAAAAAAAAUCAUAAUUAUGGUCCAAUAUUUAAUUUUGCUUAUAUAUUUUUUAUUUUGGUCAAAAUAAAUCUAGACCUAACUUAUUUUUAAAAAAAUAUAUACCACCAGAAAAUUAUUUAAUUAAUUAAAAUAUAAGAAAUAAAAUAUAAAUAAAAUUAAAGAUUGAAUCAAAAUUGUAAAUUUUUUAAAAUAUAAGAAUCAAAAUUAUAAAUUUUUUAAAAUAAAAGAGUUAAAUAUAUUUAUUUUAAAAUAAAUAAAUCAAAAUUGUGGAUCAAAUGAAUUAAGAACAACAAAAUUAUAUUUAAGUCAACAAUAUAUUAAUAUUAUAAAGUCAUGAGAUGAUGAUGCCAUAUAAAUAAGCUAAGUGCAAGGGCAAUAAAAUAAAAACAAAGUAGUGUGGUGGAAGCAUCUAAAAAUGUAAAAACACUAGGUUGGGGGUAUGAGAGCAAAAGAAAAGAAACAUCGAAGUCCAAGACGAGACAUCAUGGUUCAUGGGUGUCCCACAAUGUUCUCCCCACGUCUCUAUUAGGACUUUCAAUGCAUCGUUGUCUUUUCUCUCUUUCUCUCUCCUCUGACGCCCCCUCCUCCCACCACCCAGCACAAGAAACAAACAACCUUCGAAUGAUCAAUUUUCCCAGGUGACACAGAUUCGUGUACUUUUGGUAUUACAAUUCAUCAAUAACAUUUCAAAAUCAGAAAACCCACACACAUAAAAACAAGAAAAAAAAAAUCAAACUUUCAACGUAGAUUCAAAACACUUGUUAUACCUUUGCAUGAAUUGGGUUAUGCAUGCUCUCGCUUACGUAACGUUCAUUUGAUUGGUUAUUAUAUACAUGUACCUUAUCAAAUAUCAACCCAUUGUUCAACUUCAUCAAAUUUUGGAAUAUUCUCCUUCUCUCUGAUUAUAUUGUCACAUUCAAGAUCCUGAAUUUCCAACCUUCGUGGGUUAAUUAGUUUGUAUAAAAGUUGAGCGAUCUGCGAAGUUUGGAUAUCAAUUUUGGACACAAGUGACAUUAAUUAUAUAUUAUUCCUUGAUUUGGAAGCUAUAUAUAAAGGCUCUUUGAGAAGGUGCAAGGAUUAUUAUAUGUUGGAGACUUGAGAGAAAUUUUCAAGUUCAAUGAAAUAUGAGACGGGAAUUAUGCGUUUGGAUUGGUGAAGUUAUUAGAAACAAUAAUGGAAUUGAUAAGACUCAGUUAUGCGGUUGUUUAUGUCAUUCUCCUUUGUGCGUUGGCCCAAGGGGGCUCAGAAGGGAAGGGGGGGAAGGAAGAGGAGAUUUCUAGAGAUGGUGGAGAAGCUUUCUCAUCUUCCAUUAAUUAUGUGCAUGGAAUUAAUAAGGUAAUAUUGGUCUUUUCGAAUUUUAAUUUGUCCCUUUUUUUUUGUUUGUUCAUGAUUGUGCUCGGGAUUCUUCUUUCUAUUCUGAAUAAAUAUUUGAUGACCCUUUUGAAUUUUUUGGUUUUGAAUUUCAUUGUCAUAUUCAUCUGUUUAAUUUGAUAGUAAUUGGCUUAAUUAUGCAGAACUUCCUCAGCUUUUAGAUCUUAAACUCUAUUAAACUGACUCUAGCGUGCGAACUGCAUGCAUAUUAUGUGAUUCCUUGACCGUAGGGCUAUCUGUUUGUAUAUCAAACACAAGGUCUAAGAUAACUUCUUAAUGAAUUUUGUUAAAUCUCCUUUAAUUUACCGAUUACUAUGUUAGAUAGUAAUAUAUGACUUUGUAAAAUUAUAUUGGCAACUGGACACAUGGAAUAAUAGACAUACUAGUUAAUCUUUCACACUAUAUACUGAAUGGCGAUAUUCUCUUAUUUUGGUUUUAUACAGGUAGAAAAUGAAUUGAAACAUUGCAGGAAAGAAUUGAUAGAGAGGAACAAUGAUGUCAAAACUAGUACUUCUCCUCCUGCUCCUGUUUCAGAAAAGGGUAGCUCUAGAUAUUUAUUGCCAAAGCAUUCUAGAUCAACCUUGGGUGUGGAAAGUGCUCAUGGCAGAAAUUUGAUUGCUGAUUCACCACAUAAUGCACCAAGUCCUUCUGCUACUACUGCUGAACCACCAAGUCAUGGUCCAACACCAACAAGUUCUCCAUCAUCACCAACUCCAUCAUCACCGUCUCAAUCAUCACCAACUCCAAGUCCAAAAGGUGUGGAUUUACCACUCCCUCCAGAUAUGUUUGUGCCACUUCCACCAUCACCCCGUGCACCUCAUCCUCCUCCUCAGAAUUUUCGACCUAUAGUAGAUGCUCCUGUUGCUUCAUCACCUAACAAUGAAAACAAAAAGAAGCAAACAAUUAUUUUAGCUGCCUCUUUAUCAGGAAUUAUUAUCUUGAUAGGCUUGGCCCUCUGCUAUCGCGAGGCCAGAGGCAACAAAGGUGACAGAGAUGACAGGCCCUUGUUGGUAUUAACCUCAAGUGACUAUUCUGGUGGUAUGUUCAUGUUCUUCUUUCUACAUUAGCCUAUUUGUUUAUCAUAUAGUUUAAUUUCUAUGCACCAUUAACAUGAUUAUCCAAUUAAAAAUCAUGAUAAGUAUGACUUCUAAUAUAUUUUUUUGUAAAAGGCAACAAACUUACCACACAUGAUAGUUUACCACACAUGAUAGUUGAUGGGAUGAUAUUAUAAAAAUAUUUUACAUUGUGAGUACAUAACACUUCUCUUUAUAAUGUAUGAAACCUCAAGAGUGAAGAGCAAACUCUUAAAUUGCCACAUCAGUUUCUUGAAGACUUGAAUUUAUAUCUUUUAGCCACAUAAAAAAAAAAAAAAUUCAACAUUCAUACUUCUUGAUUUAAUGUCUUUUCAACUUUUGUUUUUUUUUUUAACAAGUAUCAAUUUUAAUCAAGAGACUACAAAAACCAUUAUUCUGUCAUUCCUCCUUUUGCAAUUAACUUUAGGAAUAAUCAAUGAAUUCUUAGGCUACCACAAGAAGUUUGAACACAUUCUUUUAUAAAAUGAACCAAAGAAUAAUCAAUUUUUUUUUCUGAAGUAUUAAAUUCUUCCAGUGUCUGGGUUACCAUCUAGUUGCAUAUGAUUGUGAAACAUUACACUUGGUCCUUCAAUCAAUGCUUCCAUGUUAAAAUUUUUUCUUCAGGUUCAAAGAAGGUUGUUCGAUUGGGAGAUGCUGACAAGGAAGAAUCUGACAUUGACAAUGGAAAGAAACCUUCUAAUUUUAGAAAUUGGUCCAUUAAGGGUGGACAUAACAAUGCCUCACUGGUUGAGACAACAGCAUCAGAAGGUGUAGGACAAGUUCUCAAAGGAAAGCCUGCCCCUCCACCUCCACCUCUACCUCCUGGACCACCACCACCAUCAGCUCCAAAGCCGCCACCGCCUCCUGCUCCUCGUGCACCGCCACCUCCAAAAGGUGCUCAUCCUCCACCUGCUCCUCCCAAACCAUUGGGAGGUAAAAAUCAAGGUCCAUUACUUGCUAAAGA
RNAcentral lists this long non-coding RNA (11694 nucleotides) under Glycine max (soybean). RNAcentral's name for it is "long non-coding RNA (GMAX_LNC001356)". Lineage: Eukaryota; Viridiplantae; Streptophyta; Magnoliopsida; Fabales; Fabaceae. The record is from RNAcentral.